CCUACGGGUGGCUGCAGUGGGGAAUAUUGGACAAUGGGGGGAACCCUGAUCCAGCGACGCCGCGUGAGUGAAGAAGUAUUUCGGUAUGUAAAGCUCUAUCAUCAGGGAAGAAAAUGACGGUACCUGACUAAGAAGCCCCGUCUAACUACGUGCCAGCAGCCGCGGUAAUACGUAGGGGGCAAGCGUUAUCCGGAUUUAUUGGGUGUCAAGGGAGCGUAGACGGUUCAGCAGUUCUGAUGUGAAAGGUCGGGGCCCAAACCCGGGACUGCAUUGGAAACUGUUGAACUUGAGUGCAGGAGAGGUGAGAGGAAUUCCUAGUGUAGCGGUGAAAUGCGUAGAUAUUAGGAGGAACACCAGUGGCGAAGGCGGCUUACUGGACUGUAACUGACGUUGAGGCUCGAAAGCGUGGGGAGCAAACAGGAUUAGAUACCCAAGUAGUC
RNAcentral lists this ribosomal RNA (440 nucleotides) under uncultured bacterium. RNAcentral describes it as "partial 16S ribosomal RNA". It matches the Rfam family "Bacterial small subunit ribosomal RNA", at positions 338 to 795 of the family's 1533-position model. The record is from RNAcentral.